GAGUGUCUGUGAAAGUAGCUCAGUAACGCGGGUACUGAUGGCAUGGACACACCUUGGGGUCCACGCCAGGAAAAGCAAAGAGCCCCAGCCUUGGUGCAGGAGGGAGAGGCUUGGACCUGCCUCAACUGAAUGUGCCAGGCUCUGCUGACUCCCCAUGGGAAACCUUGACUUGGAGGAGGGCAUAUGUGCUAAUAAAAAAGGACACUAGAGAGAGAAAGUAAAUACUGAAUGACAUACCAACUUCCGUCUAGAUUUGAGCUGCUGACCACUACAAACAGAAGCUUUGCUGAGCAAGAUUGAGAGCAUCCAGGUCUAUUGUAUAACUGUAAAUAUUUAGAAGUCACUUUGACAAUAUUAUACUUGAAAAAUAACAGUGGCAGGUUCUACCCUAGGCUUUAUGACCUUCCAAGCCAUGAGUUAUUUUUACUAGAAUUAGAGAAGCGGGCUUUAAAUUCCCUCCUUGGAGCAGACCUCAAUUACAACCAGAGAGCAGUUGGAUACCUCCGUAACUUGGAAGCCACUGUUGCACCAAUAU
Molecule: long non-coding RNA, 535 nt
Organism: Peromyscus eremicus (cactus mouse)
Lineage: Eukaryota; Metazoa; Chordata; Mammalia; Rodentia; Cricetidae
Exons: 4
Source: RefSeq, a predicted model, not a curated record